GACGAACGCUGGCGGCGUGCUUAACACAUGCAAGUCGAACGGAAAGGCCCUGCUUUUGUGGGGUGCUCGAGUGGCGAACGGGUGAGUAACACGUGAGUAACCUGCCCUUGACUUUGGGAUAACUUCAGGAAACUGGGGCUAAUACCGGAUAGGAGCUCCUGCUGGAUGGUGGGGGUUGGAAAGUUUCGGCGGUUGGGGAUGGACUCGCGGCUUAUCAGCUUGUUGGUGGGGUAGUGUCUUACCAAGGCUUUGACGGGUAGCCGGCCUGAGAGGGUGACCGGCCACAUUGGGACUGAGAUACGGCCCAGACUCCUACGGGAGGCAGCAGUGGGGAAUAUUGCACAAUGGGCGGAAGCCUGAUGCAGCAACGCCGCGUGCGGGAUGACGGCCUUCGGGUUGUAAACCGCUUUCGCCUGUGACGAAGCGUGAGUGACGGUAAUGGGUAAAGAAGCACCGGCUAACUACGUG
This 468-nucleotide ribosomal RNA is filed under the name uncultured bacterium. RNAcentral describes it as "partial 16S ribosomal RNA". It matches the Rfam family "Bacterial small subunit ribosomal RNA", at positions 28 to 507 of the family's 1533-position model. The record is from RNAcentral.